UUCCCUCUGAGCCGUUACUAGGCAGCUAAUACAGCUGAUGUCAGAGUUUAGAACUCUUCAGUGAACCCUGGUCAGGUUUUCACACUCAGUGUUCAUCUCCCGAUGUUGCCAUUUGCUUAUCCUGAAGGUAUGGUUGAAUUUUGGUGAAAUCUAGGAGGGGUGGAUGUAACCGAUGUGUUCUAACUGUUAUAUUUCACCAAAAAUCCAUGUUUGUUGAUAUUUUGUUAUUUAUUUUCAUAUAAAUCUGGUUUUGUGUGUAUUUAUUUUGGGGAGCUUUUAUUUUGUUAAUUUUAUUCUGGCGGUGUGACCAGUUGCCUGUUAGUGAUGUCACUUCCUGUAUUCUCCUCAGUAGCGGUACGCUAUGGUGAGGAGAGGUGUGCUAUGUGCGUGUAGGAACCCAGAGCUGCUGUACUGAUUUAAUUGUGUGUUGUACACAGGUAUGCAAAAUAAAACCCCCGUUCAACUGGCAAAGCAGAAGAUGUCUGUCGUCCAUUACUACGCAUACUGAAAUUGAGGGAGUGUCAGGCCAGACCGGCUACA
Molecule: long non-coding RNA, 540 nt
Organism: Perca flavescens (yellow perch)
Lineage: Eukaryota; Metazoa; Chordata; Actinopteri; Perciformes; Percidae
Exons: 3
Source: RefSeq, a predicted model, not a curated record